RNAcentral lists this ribosomal RNA (467 nucleotides) under uncultured bacterium. Its description in RNAcentral is "partial 16S ribosomal RNA". It matches the Rfam family "Bacterial small subunit ribosomal RNA", at positions 28 to 507 of the family's 1533-position model. The record is from RNAcentral.
GACGAACGCUGGCGGCGUGCUUAACACAUGCAAGUCGAACGGAAAGGCCCUGCUUUUGUGGGGUGCUCGAGUGGCGAACGGGUGAGUACACGUGAGUAACCUGCCCUUGACUUUGGGAUAACUUCAGGAAACUGGGGCUAAUACCGGAUAGGAGCUCCUGCUGCAUGGUGAGGGUUGGAAAGUUUCGGCGGUUGGGGAUGGACUCGCGGCUUAUCAGCUUGUUGGUGGGGUAGUGGCUUACCAAGGCUUUGACGGGUAGCCGGCCUGAGAGGGUGACCGGCCACAUUGGGACUGAGAUACGGCCCAGACUCCUACGGGAGGCAGCAGUGGGGAAUAUUGCACAAUGGGCGGAAGCCUGAUGCAGCAACGCCGCGUGCGGGAUGACGGCCUUCGGGUUGUAAACCGCUUUCGCCUGUGACGAAGCGUGAGUGACGGUAAUGGGUAAAGAAGCACCGGCUAACUACGUG